ACGAACCCCACAAACAUCAGAUGCACGUCACAGCUCAGCGGCAGAUCGUCAAGCUGACGAAGAAUAAUAACGUGCUUGACCAGAACAUGGUGUACAUGAAGCUGCUGGAACUCUGCGAAGUUCAAGUCUGGGUGUGUAAGUCCGGUUUCUAUGGAGAUAACUGUGACAUGAGCUGCGUGCUUGUCCGAGCAACGCCACCUGUAACGGCUGGAACGCCUCGUGUCCAGAGAUAACUACAACAACUCAACUACGACAGUGACAACCAUUCCACCAACAACGACGACCACCCAAUCAACCACAUCCUCAGCAUCAACAAACCUGACUUUGGAAACGAGUGUACCGACAACUACCGAAAUCUCCAACAAAGAACCAGAAAUCACUACAAACUUCGCGCCCACCCCUUUAACCACAGAAAACCGAACGGAAGAAAGAAGAGAAGGAGAAGCAGCAAACAAGGCUGAAUUCCCCCUGUACCCGGUUAUAGGGGCGGCAGUGGGAGGAGGAGUGUUGAUGAUAGUUAUCGUUAUAAUUCUCUGCCUUGUAAUGAGGAAAAAGCUUGGCCACAAACUGGACGUCCAGGAGUUGCAGGAGAGGUCCACCACUCGCCGCGACUCCGAGUCUCAAAGUGUCUACGUCAUCAAAAAGGAAGCCAAGAAGAAGGCGGAGGUGAGGCCAGCGUUCCUGAGGGUUCCCAACAAGUUUGGACAGAAGAACGGCUACACCAACUUCGCCAUGGACGAACAGGCCAGCAAGGCAGGCAGCGUCAGCGGCGACGAAAACGGCGACUACAUGGUUAUCUACGACAACGAUGACAGCAUCUACGCCACGCUCAAGGACGGCAAUGCGCAGACGGACAACGCAGUACUCAGCUUGAUAGACUCGCUGGCUUCCGGCGAACUGCCUGAUAAGUAUACCGAACUUCCAAAAGGAUUUCUGCAUGAACACGAAGCCGGCAAAAGUCCGCUCAACUGUAACAAGAACAGGGUGGCCUCAGUUGUGCCAUACGACUACAAUCGAAUCGUUCUCAAGGACGGGUACGUGGCUGUGGAGGCAACAGACUACAUCAAUGCAAGUUAUAUUCAGGGAUAUCAAGAUCGAAAUACCUACAUUGCAACUCAAGGACCACGUGACAACACCGUUAGCGACUUCUGGCGGAUGGUGUGGCAAGAGCAGAUAACUCAGAUCGUUAUGCUGGCCAACAUAUCAGAAGGAGGACAGGAUCAGUGUUGGGAGUACUGGCCCUUCGCGACAGUUCUGAGACUCAUGGUCCAGUGACUGUGACAGGACUGCACGUGGAGAAGCGGGCUCACUUCAUGCACAGAACCUUCUUACUGAAGGCGGAAGACGGAGCCCAGGAGAGGGAGGUAGAGCAGUACCACUUUCAAGUGUGGCCGGAGGUGGGGAUGCCGUCUGUGACGUCACUGGUCAACUUCUGGCGGCUGACGAGGGCGCGAGCUCCUCAACAUCCUCCGCCCCCUGUCCUUGUCC
RNAcentral lists this unclassified non-coding RNA (1488 nucleotides) under Pomacea canaliculata. RNAcentral describes it as "tyrosine-protein phosphatase non-receptor type 3- like, transcript variant X1". The record is from RNAcentral. Lineage: Eukaryota; Metazoa; Mollusca; Gastropoda; Architaenioglossa; Ampullariidae.